Molecule: ribosomal RNA, 447 nt
Filed under: uncultured bacterium
Lineage: Bacteria
Description: partial 16S ribosomal RNA
Rfam family: Bacterial small subunit ribosomal RNA
Source: RNAcentral
AGCGAACGCUGGCGGCAGGCUUAACACAUGCAAGUCGAACGCCCCGCAAGGGGAGUGGCAGACGGGUGAGUAACACGUGGGAACGUACCCUUUGGUUCGGAAUAACUUGGGGAAACUCAAGCUAAUACCGGAUAAGCCCUUAUGGGGAAAGGUUUACUGCCGAAGGAUCGGCCCGCGUCUGAUUAGCUAGUUGGUGAGGUAAUGGCUCACCAAGGCGACGAUCAGUAGCUGGUCUGAGAGGAUGAUCAGCCACACUGGGACUGAGACACGGCCCAGACUCCUACGGGAGGCAGCAGUGGGGAAUAUUGGACAAUGGGGGCAACCCUGAUCCAGCCAUGCCGCGUGAGUGAUGAAGGCCUUAGGGUUGUAAAGCUCUUUUACCCGGGACGAUAAUGACUGUACCUACAGAAGAAGGACCGGCCAACUACGUGCCAGCAGUCGCCGUAA